RNAcentral lists this ribosomal RNA (116 nucleotides) under Nitrospina sp. Lineage: Bacteria; Pseudomonadati; Nitrospinota; Nitrospinia; Nitrospinales; Nitrospinaceae. The record is from RNAcentral.
UUUGGUGGUUCGUCGCUGGGGCAACACCCGUUCUCAUUCCGAACACGGAAGUUAAGCCUUUCAGCGCCGAUGGUACUGCACGGGUAGCUGUGUGGGAGAGUAGGACGAGGCCGGGC